GACUAGCGCUACUCCGUCCGGCCACAGCACAGCGGCGGACCCCUGCAUUCUCUCCGCCUCGCCAUCGUCGUCACGCUUGUGGCCUCUGAUUUUCCAUGCAUUGAACGAAGAAGGAGAAUUGAAGACCCGAAGCUCCGAGUCUCCUCCGGCGAGUUUCUACGAAUUCCGGCUACUCCGAUCACCGAUUAAGCUGCAUGUGGCUAACAAUCGAAAAGCUUUCUGGUUGUUGGCAUCACACUCACCAGUUCAUCUUCGGCAGUGACACUGGGAAAUUGGGUUUUCGUCAUCAGGCUUGUCCUGGGAACUGAGUUGGGUUGAUUAAAGUUGAUUUCCGAUUUCGAAGUGAAUCUGCGUUUAUGAGAAUGGUGAAUUGGAUUGGACUGGGUUGCUCGUAUGAAGUGGUUGAUAUGUAAUCGGGUUCCUGUAAACUUGAAGUUUUGUCAUGAUAAUGGUUGUGAAGUUGUUGAUAUGCUCGUAUGAAGUUGUUGAUAUGUAAUCGGGUUCUGUAAACUCAAAAUUGUGGGUUUCUGGUAAUUUGUUGAUCGGGUUCUAAAAGAGAGAAUGGCUUUUGGAACUGGGCUUGUGGUUUAAGAAUUUGCUGAUCGAUUACAGAGGAAUUGGCUAUGGCUGAAGCUCUCUAUCUUUAUAUCUCCACUGUAUUUAUUCUGCAUAAAGGUUCAAACUUGAAAGCAGAGGAGGAUUGAUUCUCAGUACCCAAUCGCAUUACGAUUUUAGAAGCCAUGGAAGUGAAAAUUUGUGACAGAUGAACUCACCAACAACAAGAGCGAAACAAUAACGAUGACCUCCGGUGACGGAGAUGGAGGUGGGUUUUUAGAUCAGAGGGAGUAAUUUAUUCUCCUUUUUUCGGAGCUCUGAUGGUCUUGGCCUCUUUGGGAUCUCGAAGUGAGAAUGGGAUUGAGAAUUGAGAGCAGAAAGAGAUGGACAAGGCACGUGACUACCAUUCUGUGGGAAUUGUCUUAAACGCCCUCAAGAAAUUACUGUGACGGAGUCUGUUUUUACUGAUAACGGUAGUUAAGUAGGCAAUUACAUCAAUGACCUUUGAUUUCAAAACGUGUGGACAUGAUUGAACCACGACUGCUGGGCCCACGAGGGUGCACCUUAUGUAGGGCGUAUUCCAGCUGCUCCCAUAUAUAUAUAUGUGUGUGUGUGU
Molecule: long non-coding RNA, 1171 nt
Filed under: Rosa chinensis
Lineage: Eukaryota; Viridiplantae; Streptophyta; Magnoliopsida; Rosales; Rosaceae
Description: sRNA RchiOBHm_Chr6g0279721
Source: RNAcentral